ACGGUUGGCGCCCUAUCCACCUCAGUCCCGUGACCCCCGGCGCCUCGAGGCCCGAGGGGAUUGUGCGAGUGCCGCGAUCGUUGCCCGUGUUGCAUACCCGAGCGUCCCCCUCCUCGGUCGAGGGGGAAAGGAUCGGCUUGCGACACCAUCGUCCCACGUCCGUCCGGCGCCUCGCAAGGGGCCCUUCGGAGGACCACGAAGUAGCUCCCGCGAUCCACCCGCGCGAUCCGAUCGGCGAGCUUGGCCCGCGGGUUGCCGUUGCUCCCUCGGAUGCGGUGCAUGCCGAGGACUCCCGGGGGCCCGUUCCCCGCACGUCCCGAACGAACGAUUCGUCCCGACCCGAUUCUCCAGAGAGACGCCCGCGGCCGUCGCCCCCGUGCGGCGGCGCGCGAGACGUCGCGGAGGGUUGCUACCUGGUUGAU
Molecule: unclassified non-coding RNA, 422 nt
Filed under: Chamaecrista flexuosa
Lineage: Eukaryota; Viridiplantae; Streptophyta; Magnoliopsida; Fabales; Fabaceae
Description: partial external transcribed spacer
Source: RNAcentral